UACGGAGGGUGCGAGCGUUGUUCGGAAUCACUGGGCGUAAAGGGCGUGUAGGCGGUCCGCUAAGUCUGAUGUGAAAGCCCGGGGCUCACCCCCGGAAGGGCAUUGGAAACUGGCGGACUCGAGUCCCGGAGAGGAGGGUGGAAUUCCUGGUGUAGCGGUGAAAUGCGUAGAUAUCAGGAGGAACACCGGUGGCGAAGGCGGCCCUCUGGACGGUGACUGACGCUAAGACGCGAAAGCGUGGGGAGCAAACAGG
This 253-nucleotide ribosomal RNA is filed under the name uncultured bacterium. RNAcentral's name for it is "partial 16S ribosomal RNA". It matches the Rfam family "Bacterial small subunit ribosomal RNA", at positions 524 to 776 of the family's 1533-position model. The record is from RNAcentral.